RNAcentral lists this ribosomal RNA (253 nucleotides) under uncultured bacterium. Its description in RNAcentral is "partial 16S ribosomal RNA". It matches the Rfam family "Bacterial small subunit ribosomal RNA", at positions 524 to 776 of the family's 1533-position model. The record is from RNAcentral.
UACGAGGGGUGCAAGCGUUGCUCGGAAUUAUUGGGCGUAAAGGGCAGGUAGGUGGUCUCAUUUGUCUGAUGUGAAAUCCUUGGGCUUAACCUAAGAAGUGCGUCAGAAACGGUGAGACUUGAGUGCUGGAGAGGUGGGUGGAAUUCCCGGUGUAGCGGUGAAAUGCGUAGAGAUCGGGAGGAACACCAGAGGCGAAGGCGGCUCACUGGACAGUGACUGACACUCAACUGCGAAAGCGUGGGGAGCAAACAGG